This 450-nucleotide ribosomal RNA is filed under the name uncultured bacterium. Its description in RNAcentral is "bacterial SSU rRNA". It matches the Rfam family "Bacterial small subunit ribosomal RNA", at positions 354 to 796 of the family's 1533-position model. The record is from RNAcentral.
GUGGGGAAUAUUGGACAAUGGGCGAAAGCCUGAUCCAGCCAUGCCGCGUGUGUGAAGAAGGUCUUCGGAUUGUAAAGCACUUUAAGUUGGGAGGAAGGGCAGUAAGUUAAUACCUUGCUGUUUUGACGUUACCGACAGAAUAAGCACCGGCUAACUUCGUGCCAGCAGCCGCGGUAAUACGAAGGGUGCAAGCGUUAAUCGGAAUUACUGGGCGUAAAGCGCGCGUAGGUGGUUUUGUAAGGUGGAGGUGAAAUCCCCGGGCUCAACCUGGGAACUGCCUCCAAAACUGCAUGACUAGAGUACGGUAGAGGGUAGUGGAAUUUCCUGUGUAGCGGUGAAAUGCGUAGAUAUAGGAAGGAACACCAGUGGCGAAGGCGACUACCUGGACUGAUACUGACACUGAGGUGCGAAAGCGUGGGGAGCAAACAGGAUUAGAAACCCUAGUAGUCC